GCCCGGGGAGGGCCGGUUCAUAGGCCUCGGGCCCCGGGAGCCCGGCUCGUACGGCGCGGGUGCCGUCGCCCGUCAUGUGCUC
This 82-nucleotide transfer RNA is filed under the name Streptomyces glebosus. RNAcentral's name for it is "tRNA-Pro". Lineage: Bacteria; Bacillati; Actinomycetota; Actinomycetes; Kitasatosporales; Streptomycetaceae. The record is from RNAcentral.